AUUCCAACCUUUCUGUAUAUUUGGAGCAGAAUUUGGGGUCGGAUUGGUUUACACAUCUGUUAAGCCUACCACCUUGUCUGGAAGUGUUGGUAACUUCUGCAGCAUUCACAACAUUGGCUCACGUUGUAAUAACUCCACAAAAGUCCUCAAGGUCAGGGGACGAGGGACAAAAGUGACUGAACAAAGAGGGAGUGCCGAAAGUGUCCUUCCAUGAUGUAGAAGGGCUCUCAGCUGCCCCGGCCAAGGGCAUGGCUCGCUCUUCAACCCAAAGUCACAGAGGCAGAAGGGCCACUUUCUGUGUAGUCAGGAAUCUGGGUUCUCACCAUCAGCAGCCAUAUGGGUUUGGGAACAUUCGUCAGCUGGAGAACUUGCUGAUCUGGAAAAAGAGACUUUUCACAGGACAGCCCAAAAUAUUUUCUUAAACUUAUGGAAAAUUGGUAGUGACUUUCUUCAGGUGCCAGCUGCUGACAAGUAUUUUUGUUUAAAGAUAUACCAGGUGGAAAAAUAGUAGAAUGUUUCAAGGAACAUUUCAGUGGAUGAGGGUUGGCUGUUCCAGGGGUCACUUGAAAGAAAAAUCACCCUUGGUGUGACUAACACACUCAGAGUAGAGUGUGAGGAAUUCAAGCUGAAUUCUGAAUGGAGGCAGUCUCUUUAGGUGACUUAGAAUAUGUAUGUUGGGGCCCAGACCUUGACUGGGUCUGUUCCAACCGAGGGCUCAACACUUACUCCCUGGGCAUCUUGACCCCUCUCUGCCUCGGUUUCCACAUCUGUAAAAUGUAGAUAAAAAUUGUACCUACCUAUGGAACAUUGUAGCAUUAGGUGAUUUAAUGCAGGAAAAGGAUUUGGAAUAGUCAUUGACACACAGUGGGCAUGACAUAAACUUUGCUAUUAUCAUAUAUAAUGGGAUGUUAAAAAUCUCAGAGGUUUGUUUUGCUGACACCUCAGUGCUGAAAACAGUAGGGAUCAUGUACUCCCACCUUCCAAUGUGAAUCACUAAACCAACCAGACCAUCUAUGUUGCAAAAGGGGUGGCCAGAGUCAGGGAGGUUGAAGAUUACACGGAGGGGAGUGUUUCUUCAGAGAGAGUUGUUGAACUGUGGAGUUUCUGCUUUCCAGGGAACGGAGGUACUUCUCUAUGACUUUCAGUCAAGUGAGAAAAAUGUGUCAAGGAACCUACCCCGACAGCUUGGCCUGCUCUCUCAGAUUUUAGAAAUGUGAGGGAAGGUCCCUGACACACACCUGGAAAAGUCUAUAGGUGAGAGGCUGUAGCUAACGAGAGCAGAGCAGAAAAAGAGAGCAGCAUAGGGAAGAAAGGAAGUCACUUUUUGGGGGGAGGGAGCUUGCAAAGAUAUAGAUCCCUUGGAAGGGAUCCUGCCAUGAGCUGUCUUGAAAAGGACACUUCCCAAGAGAGCAAAAGAACAGCCUUUCUGGGGUGAAGCGAUCUGGGUGGAAAGAGGCUGGAAGGAUACUGCUACACGCAGAGGCUGAGGGUGGCAGGGGGAGUCAUAAAUGGCCAGCAGGAAGGAGCAUCAUCACACCAGGGAAUUGCAGUUGACGCCCUUGUGUGUGUGUAUGUGUUGGAAGGAGGAAGAGAGUAUCUCUAGCAAACGCGAAAGAUGUUCCAGGGGAAAAAAAGAGUUAGCAUUUGGACAUCCAGCCCUCCAGGGGGCGUCAGUGCCAGAUUACAAUUGUACCAGUCAAGAAACACCAUUUGUGCUGCUUUCCUACCUUCAUCUCACUCCCUAGGGAAGCCCAAAGCCGAAUUGUGGGUGGGGAUAGGAAGAAUAGAUAAACAACAUGGGGAAAUAAGGUUGAAGCUGCCCCUAUGCCCUUUUCCUUCCACACUGCAGGGUUUCAAGCCUGCCUUAGACCUAAUGGAGGAGAAGUUUUACAUUAGAUGAGAGUUUGCAGUCAGCAAAGUGGGUUUGCAGAGGCAGAUGUGAAAGAAAUUAGUUUUCAGAACUUGCUCCUUAUCAAAUUCAAUGGUUUUAGGUCAAUUUUCCUAGAAGCAGAGCCUGAGAUGGGUAUGCAGGUGCCCAGAAUUUACUGACAGUGCUCUCAGGAGAAACCUGUACGGGAUGGAGUGAAUCAGGACAGGGCGCGGGGAAGAAGCCAAGCAAAGAUGUGGUCUCAGUCUCUCAGAACCCAGCCACCAUCUUGUGAGGAAGCUUCCCACGUGGAGAGGGCCUAAGGACUUCUGACAGCAGCCAAAACCAACUUACCAGCUCUGUGAGCGAACCACCUUGGAAGUCUGUCCUCCAGACCAAGUGAAGCCUUCAGAUGACUGUAGUCACACCUAACAUCUGACUAUGACCUCACGAGGGACCCCUAACCAGAACCACUCGGCUAAACUACUGCCGGAUUCACAACCCACAGAAACCAUGAAAGACAUAAAUGGUCAUUGCCAUCUUAACCCGCUAAGUUUUGCAGUGAUUUUUUUUAUGCAGCUUUAGAGAACAAAGGAGAGGAGUGCAACAGAAAGGGGCCAUCCCAGAACCCUCAAAGGUGUGGGGCCUAGGACAGGGCCUCUUUUGCCUGGAUUUAGGGCCGUACUGAGGAAAGGAUAUGGAUUUUAUUUCAGUAGCUGGGUAUUUCCUAGGGAGGGAUGAGCUUAUUUAUACAAAAGAGGAACUUGCAGGACUGAGCAGGUGUUGGAGAUCAGGAAAUGUUUUUAUAAAAGCUGUAACAAAGCAGCCCUUUAUCUGGAGUAUACAAAGAAAUGAAAAUCUAAUGAGACCAUUUAUUUGCUUGAUUGUAUAAACACACAAAAAUGUACACAUCUUGGAAUAGUCACAGCGGAAGGAGAUCUGCUUAAGCCAGUGAUGCCGUCUGUCACUUUUCAAAAAUGCCUGUGAAACUUCUCUUUCGGAAUUGCCCACAAAGCUGGAUUACGAGCUUCCCAUGAAACCAGACUCAUCACUCAAGCUGCGACUUGGUUUGUGACCCCAGACAGCAUUUCCCAGCUUGAUCACCCAACCUACUCAGCAGACUUCGUUCUGAAUGACUUAGAACUGUUUCCAAAACUCACACCCGCCCUUGGAGGAUACAUGCUGUCAGACUUAUCUUUCUGCCACACCUCGGAUCAUGCGCUUCAGUGCCUCUCGGUUGCAUAGAGAAUUAAGCUCCAACAUGUCAGCUAGAUUUUCAGAACUUUAUACAACAUGCAGCCCCCACCUAGCUUUGCAGUUCUAUCAUCCCAGAACACACGAUGCCCUCUCUACUUACUGAUGAUAGGUACCAUUUACUGAGCCCUUAUUAUGUGCCCCACACUGUGCUAAGAGCUUAAUAUAAUCUCUCAUUUUGUCCUUAUAUGACUUUGUAAGAUAAAUGUUAUCUCUAUAGUAUAAAUAAUAAUAAAACAGGGGUCACUAACACUUUGUACAGCAGUUACAAUGUGCUAAGCCACCGUCCAAUAGAAAUAUGAGCCAUAUUUGUCAUUUUAAUUUUCUAAUUGCCACACUAAAAAAGUAAAAACUAGGUGAAAUUGAUUUUAAUAAAGUAUUUUAUCAAUGAG
This 3513-nucleotide long non-coding RNA is filed under the name Equus caballus (horse). Its description in RNAcentral is "lncRNA (ENSECAG00000053465.1)". Lineage: Eukaryota; Metazoa; Chordata; Mammalia; Perissodactyla; Equidae. The record is from RNAcentral.